AAUGAACGUUGGCGGCGUGGAUUAGGCAUGCAAGUCGAGCGAGAACCCCGCAAGGGGGGACAGCGGCGAAAGGGACAGUAAUGUGUAGAUUAUCUGCCCUCAGGUCCGGGAUAGCUGCGGGAAACUGCAGGUAAUACCGGAUAACAUCUCCGGAUCAAAGGUGUGAUUCCGCCUGAGGAUGAGUCUGCAUCCUAUUAGCUAGUUGGUGGGGUAAUGGCCUACCAAGGCAUUGAUGGGUAGCAGGUGUGAGAGCACGACCUGCGUCAUUGGGACUGAGACACUGCCCAGACACCUACGGGUGGCUGCAGUCGAGAAUCUUCGGCAAUGAGCGCAAGCCUGACCGAGCGACGCCGCGUGUGGGAUGAAGGCCUUCGGGUUGUAAACCACUGUCAGAGGGGAUGAAAUGCAGGUGGGUGCUCCCAUCUGUUUGACAUAGCCUCAGAGGAAGGACGGGCUAAGUUCGUG
RNAcentral lists this ribosomal RNA (465 nucleotides) under uncultured bacterium. RNAcentral's name for it is "partial 16S ribosomal RNA". It matches the Rfam family "Bacterial small subunit ribosomal RNA", at positions 29 to 507 of the family's 1533-position model. The record is from RNAcentral.